RNAcentral lists this ribosomal RNA (239 nucleotides) under uncultured bacterium. RNAcentral describes it as "partial 16S ribosomal RNA". It matches the Rfam family "Bacterial small subunit ribosomal RNA", at positions 92 to 334 of the family's 1533-position model. The record is from RNAcentral.
CGAGUGGCGGACGGGUGAGUAAUGUCUGGGAAACUGCCCGAUGGGAGGGGAUAACUACUGGAAACGGUAGCUAAUACCGCAUAACGUCGCAAGACCAAAGAGGGGGACCUUCGGGCCUCUUGCCAUCGGAUGUGCCCAGAUGGGAUUAGCUAGUAGGUGGGGUAACGGCUCACCUAGGCGACGAUCCCUAGCUGGUCUGAGAGGAUGACCAGCCACACUGGAACUGAGACACGGUCCAG